This 253-nucleotide unclassified non-coding RNA is filed under the name Pseudomonadota bacterium. Its description in RNAcentral is "partial 16S ribosomal RNA". It matches the Rfam family "Bacterial small subunit ribosomal RNA", at positions 524 to 776 of the family's 1533-position model. RNAcentral also lists the same sequence under 1 other name. The record is from RNAcentral. Lineage: Bacteria; Pseudomonadati; Pseudomonadota.
UACGGAGGGUGCAAGCGUUGCUCGGAAUUACUGGGCGUAAAGCGUGCGCAGGCGGCGCAGCAAGUCAGACGUGAAAGACCGGGGCUCAACCCCGGGAGGUCGUUUGAAACUGCUGUGCUUGAGUACGGGAGAGGGGUGUGGAAUUCCCAGUGUAGGAGUGAAAUCCGUAGAUAUUGGGAGGAACACCAGUGGCGAAGGCGACACCCUGGCCCGAGACUGACGCUCAGGCACGAAAGCAUGGGUAGCAAACAGG